GGUGAAAAGCACCCCGGAAGGGGAGUGAAAUAGAACCUGAAACCGUGUGCUUACAAGUAGUCAGAGCCCGUUAAUGGGUGAUGGCGUGCCUUUUGUAGAAUGAACCGGCGAGUUACGAUUUGAUGCAAGGUUAAGCAGUAAAUGUGGAGCCGUAGCGAAAGCGAGUCUGAAUAGGGCGUUUAGUAUUUGGUCGUAGACCCGAAACCAGGUGAUCUACCCUUGGUCAGGUUGAAGUUCAGGUAACACUGAAUGGAGGACCGAACCGACUUACGUUGAAAAGUGAGCGGAUGAACUGAGGGUAGCGGAGAAAUUCCAAUCGAACCUGGAGAUAGCUGGUUCUCUCCGAAAUAGCUUUAGGGCUAGCCUCAAGUGAUGAUUAUUGGAGGUAGAGCACUGUUUGGACGAGGGGCCCCUCUCGGGUUACCGAAUUCAGACAAACUCCGAAUGCCAAUUAAUUUAACUUGGGAGUCAGAACAUGGGUGAUAAGGUCCGUGUUCGAAAGGGAAACAGCCCAGACCACCAGCUAAGGUCCCAAAAUAUAUGUUAAGUGGAAAAGGAUGUGGCGUUGCCCAGACAACUAGGAUGUUGGCUUAGAAGCAGCCAUCAUUUAAAGAGUGCG
RNAcentral lists this ribosomal RNA (619 nucleotides) under Staphylococcus aureus. RNAcentral's name for it is "partial 23S ribosomal RNA". It matches the Rfam family "Bacterial large subunit ribosomal RNA", at positions 513 to 1134 of the family's 2925-position model. The record is from RNAcentral. Lineage: Bacteria; Bacillati; Bacillota; Bacilli; Caryophanales; Staphylococcaceae.